UGUGAUACUUCAUCUUUGCCACCUCU
This 26-nucleotide non-coding RNA is filed under the name Mus musculus (house mouse). Lineage: Eukaryota; Metazoa; Chordata; Mammalia; Rodentia; Muridae. The record is from RNAcentral.